Molecule: ribosomal RNA, 255 nt
Filed under: uncultured bacterium
Lineage: Bacteria
Description: partial 16S ribosomal RNA
Rfam family: Bacterial small subunit ribosomal RNA
Source: RNAcentral
UACAGAGGUCCCAAGCGUUGUUCGGAAUCACUGGGCGUAAAGGGUGCGUAGGCGGCGCGGAAAGUCAGGGGUGAAAUCCCGGAGCUCAACUCCGGAACUGCCUUUGAUACUCCCGCGCUUGAGAACUGGAGGGGAGACCGGAAUUCACGGUGGAGCAGUGAAAUGCGUGGAUAUCGUGAGGAACACUAGUGGCGAAGGCGGGGUCUCUGGACAGUAUCUGACGCUGAGGCACGAAGGCCAGGGGGAGCGAACGGG